This 179-nucleotide non-coding RNA is filed under the name Pseudohaliea rubra. The record is from RNAcentral. RNAcentral also lists the same sequence under 1 other name. Lineage: Bacteria; Pseudomonadati; Pseudomonadota; Gammaproteobacteria; Cellvibrionales; Halieaceae.
UAAAGUCACCGGCGUUCAGGUGCCUGCCGGUGCAGUGCGAACACUGCAUCUGGGUAGGUUAAAUGGGAAGACUGGUGCGGCCCCUCGGGCCAAGGCCAGCGCUGCCCCCGCAACGGUAUGCGGCUGCGUUCAUCGGAGCGCGCCGCGAGCCCGAUACCUGCCUGGACAUGUGCACCGAU